RNAcentral lists this ribosomal RNA (330 nucleotides) under uncultured bacterium. Its description in RNAcentral is "bacterial SSU rRNA". It matches the Rfam family "Bacterial small subunit ribosomal RNA", at positions 568 to 898 of the family's 1533-position model. The record is from RNAcentral.
CGCGUAGGCGGAUGACUAAGUCGGGGGUGAAAGCCCGGGGCUCAACCUCGGAAUUGCCUUCGAUACUGGUCAUCUGGAGUACGGGAGAGGUGUGUGGAACUCCGAGUGUAGAGGUGAAAUUCGUAGAUAUUCGGAAGAACACCAGUGGCGAAGGCGACACACUGGCCCGUUACUGACGCUGAGGCGCGAAAGCGUGGGGAGCAAACAGGAUUAGAUACCCUGGUAGUCCACGCUGUAAACGAUGAGUGCUAGUUGUCGGCAGGCAUGCCUGUCGGUGACGCAGCUAACGCAUUAAGCACUCCGCCUGGGGAGUACGGUCGCAAGAUUAAA